UGAAUUGAAAAGAGAGGAAAGGUCCUUUCUGCUCUGGUCAUCUAGUAGAUAUGAAUUUCUGGCAGUGAUUGAUCUCAAAGUAUUUAAAUGAUAUGAGGUUGCCUAACCAGAAUAGUCCCAAAUGACAAGCCUCUAUAAGGUAUUGAGGGAAUGAAUCUCUUUUAGUAGUAAUGUCAAUUAAGGGCAAGGAUGAAUUCAGAGCUCCACAAGUAUUGUAAGGCUUCCUAUCCAGCCUGGUAAAUGUUGUCAACUGAGAGCAAAGGAGAGAGAAUGAUGCAAGUGAAUGGAUUCCUUUCCUUUUCACCAGCCCUCAAAAGCUUAUUCCCAAGCCAUGGGCAAUAUUCAGCCCAUCAACAUCAUCUUUUUCUGCAUUGGGAUACGAGAAAUCUUUGUGCCCAUGAAUAAUCAGAAGCUUCUUAAACAAGGUAAAAUCUGCAAGAAAAUAGUGAUUAAAUCAACCCUAUCAUUUUCCCAAACUCUUAGAAUGUGAAACUUAAAGUAUUAUGAUUAGUUUGGUCCUCAAUUGCCAGUUAAUGGCUUGUCUAAUUUUACACGGAUUUGAAGAUGCAAAAUUUUCAAACUUAUUGAUCUAAGCAUUUUAUCAAACAUAUUGGCAGUAACUUUAUUAAAAAAUUGAAUCUGUUAAAAAAAGGACAAGAGAUUGGAUUGCAAACCUAAAUUUUGUAGAUGGCAUGCUUGAAUCAAUGAACAGAAAUCCUCUAUGAAUCAGGCACCAUUGU
Molecule: long non-coding RNA, 740 nt
Filed under: Vitis vinifera (wine grape)
Lineage: Eukaryota; Viridiplantae; Streptophyta; Magnoliopsida; Vitales; Vitaceae
Description: long non-coding RNA (VVIN_LNC005014)
Source: RNAcentral